This 391-nucleotide unclassified non-coding RNA is filed under the name soil metagenome. RNAcentral describes it as "partial contains 5.8S ribosomal RNA, internal transcribed spacer 2, and large subunit ribosomal RNA". The stretch from base 1 to 122 matches the Rfam family "5.8S ribosomal RNA", at positions 35 to 154 of the family's 154-position model. The record is from RNAcentral.
GAUGAAGAACGCAGCGAAAUGCGAUACUUGGUGUGAAUUGCAGAAUCCCGUGAACCAUCGAGUCUUUGAACGCAAGUUGCGCCCGAAGCCAUUAGGCCGAGGGCACGCCUGCCUGGGCGUCACACGUCGUUGCCCCCCCACCUACUCCUUCGGGAUUGCGGGGGGCGGAUGAUGGCCUCCCGUGCGCCUCGUCGCGCGGUUGGCAUAAAUGCCAAGUCCUCGGCGACGCACGCCACGACAAUCGGUGGUUGCGAAACCUCGGUUGCCCGUCGUGUGCGGUCGUCGCGCAUCGAGGGCUCGAAAAAAUUGCCGGGCUCCGGCUCGGCUUUCAACGCGACCCCAGGUCAGGCGGGGUUACCCGCUGAAUUUAAGCAUAUCAAUAAGCGGAGGA